UUGAUGACUAAUAUUGGGAAUUUUACUGGA
Molecule: non-coding RNA, 30 nt
Filed under: Mus musculus (house mouse)
Lineage: Eukaryota; Metazoa; Chordata; Mammalia; Rodentia; Muridae
Source: RNAcentral